Pteronotus mesoamericanus is the source of this 6083-nucleotide RNA transcript. It is a transcript of the gene named microfibril associated protein 3 like, with no coding region annotated. The transcript has 4 exons. The record is from RefSeq and is a predicted model, not a curated record. NCBI's taxonomy places the organism in Eukaryota, Metazoa, Chordata, Mammalia, Chiroptera, Mormoopidae.
GCUCAGCACCAGCCGGCUCCGGCUCCAGUAGGUGGGCAGCGCCGCACUCUCGGCGGCCCGCCCGCGGCGCAGCCGGCUUCGCUGCGGGGGCUGGCGGAGGCGGCUCAUCCGCAGUAGGUGCUGCCGGGCGUCAGAGGCAGAGCGCGGCGCAGCGGCAGCACUCAGGCUGGCCAUGGCGAGGAGCGCACGGCGGCCACCUGAGUGGCGCGGCGGCGUAAGGUUCUUAAUCAAGAACCAGCUCUAUGGAGCCAGCACAGGUUUGUCCCAUGGCCUGCUCUGAACAGCGUGCUGUCUGAUAGAAGAUUCCAUUGGCAAAUCAUCUCUGUUGCCUUACAGAGCAAGCAAAGAAGAUGGAUCGAUUGAAGAGCCAUCUGCCUGUGUGCUUUCUACCUUCUGUGCCCUGUUUAAUCCUAGUAUCCACUCUAGCGACUGCAAAGAGUGUGACUAACAGCACUUUAAAUGGCACUGACGUGGUCUUGGGCUUUAUGCCUGUAAUCAUUGCCAGAACUGACCAUAUCAUAGUCAAGGAAGGGAAUAGUGCCUUGAUUAAUUGUAGUGUUAAUGGCAUCCCUGAUCCACAGUUCAAGUGGUAUAAUUCCAUUGGCAAGCUGCUGAAAGAAGAAGAGGAUGAGAAGGAAAGAGGAGGAGGAAAAUGGCAGAUGCUUGAGAGUGGCCUCCUGAACAUCACCAAGGUGUCUUUUUCAGACCGAGGUAAAUACACAUGUGUUGCUUCUAACAUCUAUGGCACUGUGAACAACACGGUGACCCUGCGCGUCAUCUUCACCUCUGGGGACAUGGGUGUCUACUACAUGGUCGUCUGCCUCGUGGCCUUCACCAUCGUCAUGGUCCUCAACAUCACCCGCCUGUGUAUGAUGAGCAGCCACCUGAAGAAGACUGAGAAAGCCAUCAACGAGUUCUUUAGGACAGAAGGUGCAGAGAAGCUGCAAAAGGCAUUUGAGAUUGCCAAGCGGAUCCCCAUCAUCACCUCAGCCAAAACCCUAGAGCUUGCCAAAGUGACCCAGUUCAAAACCAUGGAGUUUGCCCGCUAUAUCGAAGAGCUUGCCAGGAGCGUGCCUCUGCCUCCUCUCAUCAUGAACUGCAGGACCAUCAUGGAGGAGAUCAUGGAGGUGGUCGGGCUGGAGGAGCAGGGGCAGAAUUUUGUGCGGCACACCCCAGAAGGCCAGGAGGCCACCGACAGGGAUGAGGUGUACAUGAUUCCGAACUCUCUGAAGCGAAGCGACUCUCCCACCGCCGACUCAGACGCCUCAUCGCUGCAUGAACAGCCUCAGCAGAUUGCCAUCAAGGUGUCGGUUCAUCCACAGUCCAGAAAAGAUCACGUGGACGACCAAGAAGGGGUGCAGUUUGAAGUCAAAGAUGAAGAGGAGACAGAACCAUCAGCCGAACAUUCCCCAGAAACUGCAGAGCCUUCCACAGAUGUAACAUCCACGGAGCUAACGUCUGAAGAGCCCACGCCUGUGGAGGCAUCGCUAGAUAGAGUCCUGCUGCCAGCUCACCUGGAAACUACAGAGCCGGCAGUGGCGCACGACAGAAACACCUGCAUUAUUUAUGAAAGCCAUGUCUAAUACCAACUCCGAAAAGCUAUGCAUAUCAAGAAAAUCAGGGGCUGCUCCUCGUAGUCCAGAUGUAGUACGCACUUGCCGCUAAGCCUUACCAGGAGACUCUCAUCCCUUAGGUAGGAGUGAUGCCAUUUUAAAAGGGGAAACACCUGUGUGCGGUUCACGUGACUGGACCUUCCCCAGUAGAAAAGGAUGCGGGAAACAUCAGGGUGCAGAACUGAUAAUGUUGGACAGAAGGUCUGUCCAAGUGAUAAGAAUUUUAGAGACUAUUCUCUGCCAAGUACCUUAAUUGGUGAUGCCCUUUUGGCAAAGAGUACACUACUGUAAGAUAAAUUCUGAGUUCAAGAGCCCUGUUCAAUGCACACUGCAUUGCUUUUCUUUUAAAAAAAUUAUAGGUCUGCUACAAUAGCAAAUGCACGUAUAUGGGUUUGUUGCACUUUCUUCUCAGUUUUUAUUCCUUUCACUGUUCCUUUAUAAUGGAGUAAUUGUUGUUAUAUUAAUACUAAUUGCUCUUUCCGGUUUAGUCCUCUUUGUCCUUAUUUUCCCCUAGAACAUUUACCUCAGAGGCUUUGGUAUCAGUCACCAGUACCAGGGCUGAUAUCUUACAAGUCAUUUGUAAUGUUCCAAAGUAGUUACUAGGCUCCGUUUUCUUGUUACUUCCUAGGCUUCUUUUCAUACCUUGAUUUUUAUUUGUUUCCAAUGAAGCUGCUUUUGUGAAACUGAGAAAAACUUUGCCCAGGAAUAGCACUUUAAUAGCCAAAUAAAAUUGUGUUUACCUGUUUGAUCGGAGAACCUUUUGGUGAGCUCAACUGAUGUAUGGGUGGGGGAGGUUAUAAACGGUUGAAUAUAUCCAUAGUACUCACGGCAUUUGAUGAAUUCCUGUAUUUUACAGAAUAUUGGCUUGCAGGAGCUUGCAGAGAAGGAUAUAUAUAUUAUGGUAAUAGCACAGGAAACUGUACCAUCAAAUUUCAUGCCAAAAUUAUUGAAUUAUUUAGUCUCACAAGAAAGUAGUUAUAUGCAAGGCAGAAUGAUGUUAUAGACAAAAGACAAAACUAGUUGUGCAAAGGCCAAUACUUUACCUGACUGUGCUGAUAUCCAGCUGCCUGGCUUUGGGCAAUCUGGGUUUCAGUUUUCUUAUCUGCCAGGUGGGGCAGACUGGAUGAGGUCUAAGCACCACUUCAAUGGCCUCAUUCUCUCACAGAACCAAACCGAUGUUUUCAUCCUUGUUCUUUUCCACAGUCACUUUAACGAUUUGUACUUACAUCUCUGGGUUCACCUAGCAUUGUUUAUGCUGCAUUACUCAAAUAAAUGCAAUGAUUUUCAAAAAUCAUAGCAUUUUAAGCAAGUUGUGGAUCUCUGCCCCCGCCCUAAAUUAAUCAUUUAGACCACUUCUACAUUUUAGAUUUAAUCCUGAUGAGAAUGAGUGGCAUUAUUUCAUUUUCUCUCAGGCACAGGGAGACACUAACCUUAAAGUAGUUAUAAGGGUCAUGGCCACAUCGAGUGAUGGGGUCAUGACACUGGAGAUUACACAAACCACGUUGGUAGUGAGAAAGCAGAUGCAGAUGUUUAGUCCUCAUUCUCUCACUAUCUGGGUAAGUGACCUGGAACAGUUCCCUUUCUUAUUCUGGGGUUUAAUCUUUUUCACCUGCAAAAUACAGGGGUUGUACUGUACCCAAUGGAUCACAAGAUCCCUUCUAGCUCAGAUAUUUAUAGUUUUAUGGGAAGUUUGUGGUCUCUCAUGGUGGCCCCCAUUGCAAAAAAUAAGCAAUAUUUGGAGCAAAAGUGGGUACAUGAGGUUGGAUGCUUUUGCUGUCCAAACUUUACAGCAAAUAUAUCUAGUUCUGUAGCUGAGGGCACAGGGUUUGGCUUUAGGAAUGGCCUUGACAGGGCUAUUUUUGUUCACAGAUAACUGAUGUGGAAGGCAAUUUGACAAGACAUGGAGUCUGAUUAGACAUCUCUUAGUCAGGAAUGAACUGUUGGAAUCUUGGGUGGUCACAUAUAGAAAUUAGUAGUGAGUGAUUAAGAAAUACAAUGAUUCCUGAUUAGGUUUUCUUGACUAGGAUUCUAUGUAUUUGGGUUGCAGAAAAUUUUUAUCUCCAACUCUUAGAAUAUAAACAUUUCCACAUGUUACAGAAGUCAACAAAUUCCUACCAUGGAUUGGUACACUCAAUCAAUACUAAAAUGAUUGAAGCUCAUUUUGUGGUACUGUGUGAACUUUUUCUCAAUGUAUUCCGUUUUCAUUCCACCCAAAUCCUUGUGCACAUUUCCACAUGAAAAUUACAGGAGAAGGCAUUAUUUCAUCUAGACAUUUAUUUGGAAUAAAAAGUUUAUAAUGGGCAAAUUUCUUAUGAAUUAGGAGCAGAAAUGUGUGACCAAAGCUUCUUUAGACUGGGGAGAGUAUAUAGAUUUUCAAAACUUCCCCCUCUUUAAAGUAUUAAAAAGCUCUUGAUAUAAUAACAGCCAACCUAAAGGAAGACUGGCUUACAAUGGAGGUUUCUGCUUCCAGAAAUUCUGUACUCUUCCUCUCCACCCUACAGCUUCUUUACAAAAUAAGAAAGGUUCUCCUGCUAGAAUAUGAGAUGGAGAAGGCCUUGUGACUUUCAGCUGAUUUUUAAAGAUAGUAAACUGUACAGCUUCAUAGAGUUUAUAGACUUAUGGCUCUGUGUGUGUGCGUGUGCACAAUGCACAUGCCAGACUCAUUUGGGCAGAUUUAAAAGCUAAACAGUAAAUCCCAAGCCACGUUCUUUGGGUCAUAUGUAGUCAUUGUCAAAAUCAAACAAGUUCUGGUUUCUGAGUUAUCUGGUUAUAAUCUCUAGCAACUUUUUUUCUAGAAAUUCGGAAAAUGAUUCAGAUACACAUGCAUAUUUAAUUCACUUAGAUAUGAUCUGCAAACUUGGAUGGUAUUUAUUCUAAAUGGAAAAAACAAUUUUAUACUGAAAAUCGAUGUAAUUUAUAGUGGUUUUGUUUAAUAUAUUAUAUUUUCAUAUUUUUAGGGCACAUCUACUUCUCUCAUCUUUUUGUAUAUCAUAUUUGGUAAAAAGAAAUACUAAUACUUGACUAAAAUCUCUAGGAAUUAAAUGUGCUACCUAAUGUAUAGAAAUCACUCUAAAGAUAUGUGAAUGUUCUCACCCAUCCCCGGUAUUACUGUGUCAUGUUCUUACAUCAAGAAUGAUUUGUCUCAAAUGCUUAGGAGCAUUCUUUUUUCCAAAACUAAGGCUAAGAUGCCUGCCAUCCCACAUAAUGGAUUCUGGAAUCCCUUUCCUUUUUCUUUGUUAUUGUUUUCCUCAUUUUUGAUUGUCUGUGUUAUUUAACCCUCCCUUUAAAGAGCAAGUGUUAGGUAAGAAAACAACUUGGUGGAAAGACUGAACUGAACUAUGGCUCUGUAAAUUAUUGAAUGGACUGAUAACCUGUUUUAAACUUAAUGCUUGGAUUGUUAUUUAUUAGUGAUCUAAAAUCUCACUUCUUUAGCUCUUGAAGAAAAUGUGAGGCACAAUGAAUAAUUUGCAUGUUUUGUACAGCUACACUUUCAAUGUAGUGCAGCCAACACAAAUCAAGCUAACUAUAGAAACACCAGUCUCAACCACGGAGGAACCGUUUUACAAAGGCAAAUGCGACACCUGUCCGCAAAUGGAAAUACAGUGUUGUAUCACUGCUGAACCUCUGAAGUGGCAGCCUCUAUGGUUCUGUGAAUGGGGGAUUUCCUCUGAGUGUUUCAUUGGUAAGAAAAUGGAGCGUUUAACUUAUCUUUCAGAUACUCUUAUUUUAUACUCAGCACAGUUCAACUACUCUCUUGGACCUAUCUUCACAUAUCCUUUGGCAGUCCCUUAAGAUUAUUGUUCUUUUUCUAAUCUCACUUUUUAAACUAAUCUAUUGUACUCUUUAAAUACCUACCAAAUCUCAUUGUGUAUUCCCACACAUAUUUUGAGCACCUGGUAUCUUCAAGAUAUUAGUCAUUUUUACACUCAUCUAUUCAUUUAAAAAUUCUUCAGUAGAUAACAAAGUUCAUUUUCCUGAUGACUUUCUUAGGAUUUGUACAGUAAUUAAUCAGGUUUGGAUUAAAUAAAUCAGUGAUGGGCAGGAAAGUAAAAUAAAACAAUUGCUUAUUAUGUUUUCCAGAAGACUGAGUGUUAUACAAGAAAAUAUCAUAUGAGGCUGGUAAUAACCUUUGAAAUUCUACAGAGAUACGAUUUUAAGGAGACUAAUAUUUAGCAUACUGCAAUCAAAGUUGAAGCUUUUAGAGAAGGACUUACACAGUGAAGACAGGGAGACGAUUUCUGAAAUGAAGGAAGGACAGCACACAUUUGAAAUCCUGGAAAACCCCUGAGAAGUAAGGGGGCAGGGGCAGCAAGAGGUCCGAAUGUUCUGGUGGAGGAAGCCUUGGACAAUUAAUUCGCACUUGUAUUCAAAAGAUGCAGAGCACAGAACAAAGGUGUGGUUUCUACAUGCCUGUAAAAGUCUCGGGGAGAGAGGAAGCACUCCCUCCAGCACCUCACCACCCCUCACCAA